RNAcentral lists this ribosomal RNA (687 nucleotides) under uncultured Inocybe. Its description in RNAcentral is "eukaryotic LSU rRNA". The stretch from base 271 to 424 matches the Rfam family "5.8S ribosomal RNA". Lineage: Eukaryota; Fungi; Basidiomycota; Agaricomycetes; Agaricales; Cortinariaceae. The record is from RNAcentral.
UCCGUAGGUGAACCUGCGGAAGGAUCAUUAUCGAAUAAACUUGAACAGGCUGUUGCUGGUCUUCUUGGGACAUGUGCACGCUUGUCAUCUUUAUCAUUUCUCCAACUGUGCACGUAUUUUGUAGACCUGGGGGGACUGGAAUUCGUUCCGAGUGGGGACUGCUGUGCUUCAAAAAAGAAAAGAGGUCGGCUUUCCCUUUGAAAGGUCUAUGUCAUUUUUUCACAACCAAUGUGUCUAGAAUGUUGUAAUGAAUAAAAAGUUAUGAAAAACAACUUUCAGCAACGGAUCUCUUGGCUCUCGCAUCGAUGAAGAACGCAGCGAAAUGCGAUAAGUAAUGUGAAUUGCAGAAUUCAGUGAAUCAUCGAAUCUUUGAACGCAUCUUGCGCUCCUUGGUAUUCCGAGGAGCAUGCCUGUUUGAGUGUCAUUUUGAACUCUCAAAGCCCACGUCUUGACGUGGCUUUGGACUUGAGGGCUUUUGCAGGCUUUUUGAUCAAAAGCCUGCUCCCUUGAAAAUCAUCAGUGGUAUCUGGAGCGGAAACCGCUAGGUGUUGAUAACAUUUCAUCUAUGCCUUUGGGUAUGCCGCGUAAAUGUGCUGCUUCCAACGGCCCCAUUAUGCUCUUUGACAAACUUGACCUCAAAUCAGGUAGGACUACCCGCUGAACUUAAGCAUAUCAAUAAGCGGAGGA